UCUCUGUGGGAUUCGACCCCUACUUGCCCUAGCUAUUCUAGUUAGUUAUUUGUGGGGAUUAUUUUUAUGGUCAUAGACGACACGAUCACAUGCCUUCUUCGAUAUGAUCGUGUCGUCUAUGACCAUAAAAAUAAUCCCCACAAAUAACUAACUAGAAUAGCUAGGGCAAGUAGGGGUCGAAUCCCACAGAGA
RNAcentral lists this microRNA precursor (192 nucleotides) under Corchorus capsularis. RNAcentral describes it as "pre miRNA MIR530". Lineage: Eukaryota; Viridiplantae; Streptophyta; Magnoliopsida; Malvales; Malvaceae. The record is from RNAcentral.